AGAUUUUGGUCAGAAUGGAUAAAAUAACGACCUUCCGCUUACCGGGCAGAUGCCAUGACCACUAGGCUACCC
Molecule: non-coding RNA, 72 nt
Organism: Cordylochernes scorpioides
Lineage: Eukaryota; Metazoa; Arthropoda; Arachnida; Pseudoscorpiones; Chernetidae
Source: the annotation of a GenBank genome assembly